CCUACGGGUGGCUGCAGUGGGGAAUAUUGCACAAUGGGCGCAAGCCUGAUGCAGCCAUGCCGCGUGUGUGAAGAAGGCCUUCGGGUUGUAAAGCACUUUCAGCGGGGAGGAAGGCGGUGAGGUUAAUAACCUCAUCGAUUGACGUUACCCGCAGAAGAAGCACCGGCUAACUCCGUGCCAGCAGCCGCGGUAAUACGGAGGGUGCAAGCGUUAAUCGGAAUUACUGGGCGUAAAGCGCACGCAGGCGGACUGUCAAGUCGGAUGUGAAAUCCCCGGGCUCAACCUGGGAACUGCAUUCGAAACUGGCAGGCUAGAGUCUUGUAGAGGGGGGUAGAAUUCCAGGGGUAGCGGUGAAAUGCGUAGAGAUCUGGAGGAAUACCGGUGGCGAAGGCGGCCCCCUGGACAAAGACUGACGCUCAGGUGCGAAAGCGUGGGGAGCAAACAGGAUUAGAUACCCGGGUAGUC
This 465-nucleotide ribosomal RNA is filed under the name uncultured Klebsiella sp. RNAcentral describes it as "bacterial SSU rRNA". It matches the Rfam family "Bacterial small subunit ribosomal RNA", at positions 338 to 795 of the family's 1533-position model. The record is from RNAcentral. Lineage: Bacteria; Pseudomonadati; Pseudomonadota; Gammaproteobacteria; Enterobacterales; Enterobacteriaceae.